GCUCAACCGAAGAAGUGCAUCGGAAACUGGAAAACUUGAGUGCAGAAGAGGACAGUGGAACUCCAUGUGUAGCGGUGAAAUGCGUAGAUAUAUGGAAGAACACCAGUGGCGAAGGCGGCUGUCUGGUCUGUAACUGACGCUGAGGCUCGAAAGUAUGGGUAGCAAACAGGAUUAGAUACCCUGGUAGUCCAUACCGUAAACGAUGAAUGCUAAGUGUUGGAGGGUUUCCGCCCUUCAGUGCUGCAGCUAACGCAUUAAGCAUUCCGCCUGGGGAGUACGGCCGCAAGGCUGAAACUCAAAGGAAUUGACGGGGGCCCGCACAAGCGGUGGAGCAUGUGGUUUAAUUCGAAGCUACGCGAAGAACCUUACCAGGUCUUGACAUACUAUGCAAGUCUAAGAGAUUAGACGUUCCCUUCGGGGACAUGGAUACAGGUGGUGCAUGGUUGUCGUCAGCUCGUGUCGUGAGAUGUUGGGUUAAGUCCCGCAACGAGCGCAACCCUUAUUAUCAGUUGCCAGCAUUAAGUUGGGCACUCUGGUGAGACUGCCGGUGACAAACCGGAGGAAGGUGGGGAUGACGUCAAAUCAUCAUGCCCCUUAUGACCUGGGCUACACACGUGCUACAAUGGAUGGUACAACG
Molecule: ribosomal RNA, 637 nt
Filed under: uncultured bacterium
Lineage: Bacteria
Description: bacterial SSU rRNA
Rfam family: Bacterial small subunit ribosomal RNA
Source: RNAcentral